This 405-nucleotide unclassified non-coding RNA is filed under the name soil metagenome. Its description in RNAcentral is "partial contains 5.8S ribosomal RNA, internal transcribed spacer 2, and large subunit ribosomal RNA". The stretch from base 1 to 121 matches the Rfam family "5.8S ribosomal RNA", at positions 35 to 154 of the family's 154-position model. The record is from RNAcentral.
GAUGAAGAACGCAGCGAAAUGCGAUAAGUAAUGUGAAUUGCAGAAUUCAGUGAAUCAUCGAAUCUUUGAACGCACCUUGCGCCCUUUGGCCAUUCCGAAGGGCAUGCCUGUUUGAGUAUCAUGAACACCUCAACUCUUUAUGGUUUUCCAUGAUGAGCUUGGACUCUGGGGGUUUUGCUGGCUCACAGUCGGCUCCUCUAACAUGAAUCAGCUUACCAGUGUUUGGUGGGUAUCAUGGGUGUGAUAACUAUCUACGCUUGUGGUUUUUCCACCAGGUAACCUUCAGCAGUGGAGGUUCGCUGGAGCUCAUAGAUGUCUCUCCUCAGUGAGGACAGCCCUUUGAAUGUUUGAUCUCAAAUCAGGUAGGACUACCCGCUGAACUUAAGCAUAUCAAUAAGCGGAGGA